RNAcentral lists this ribosomal RNA (250 nucleotides) under uncultured bacterium. Its description in RNAcentral is "partial 16S ribosomal RNA". It matches the Rfam family "Bacterial small subunit ribosomal RNA", at positions 355 to 597 of the family's 1533-position model. The record is from RNAcentral.
GGGGGAAUAUUGGACAAUGGGGGAAACCCUGAUCCAGCCAUGCCGCGUGUGUGAAGAAGGUCUUAGGAUUGUAAAGCACUUUAAGUUGGGAGGAAGAGCAGUUAACUAAUAUUUGACUGUUUUGACGUUACCGACAGAAUAAGCACCGGCUAACUUCGUGCCAGCAGCCGCGGUAAUACGAAGGGUGCAAGCGUUAAUCGGAAUUACUGGGCGUAAAGCGCGCGUAGGUGGUUCGUUAAGUUAGGAGUGA